This 497-nucleotide ribosomal RNA is filed under the name uncultured bacterium. Its description in RNAcentral is "partial 16S ribosomal RNA". It matches the Rfam family "Bacterial small subunit ribosomal RNA", at positions 28 to 507 of the family's 1533-position model. The record is from RNAcentral.
GAUGAACGCUGGCGGCGUGCCUAAUACAUGCAAGUCGAGCGAACGGACGAGAAGCUUGCUUCUCUGAUGUUAGCGGCGGACGGGUGAGUAACACGUGGAUAACCUACCUAUAAGACUGGGAUAACUUCGGGAAACCGUAGCUAAUACCGGAUAAUAUUUUGAACCGCAUGGUUCAAAAGUGAAAGACGGUCUUGCUGUCACUUAUAGAUGGAUCCGCGCUGCAUUAGCUAGUUGGUAAGGUAACGGCUUACCAAGGCAACGAUGCAUAGCCGACCUGAGAGGAUGAUCCGCCACACUGGGACUGAGACACGGUACGGACACCUACGGGAGGCAGCAGUGGGGAAUCUUGGACAAUGGGCGAAAGCCUGAUCCAGACAUACCGCGUGGGUGAAGAAGGCCUUCGGGUUGUAAAGCCCCUUUGUUGGGAAAGAAAAGCAGCAGGUUAAUACCCCGCUGUUCUGACGGUACCCAAAGAAUAAGCACCGGCUAACUUCGUG